This is a long non-coding RNA of Rhinolophus ferrumequinum (greater horseshoe bat), 1484 nucleotides long. RefSeq lists it as uncharacterized. The transcript has 3 exons. The record is from RefSeq and is a predicted model, not a curated record. Lineage: Eukaryota; Metazoa; Chordata; Mammalia; Chiroptera; Rhinolophidae.
UACGCCAACAGGAACUGCCUUGAGAACGAGGGCCAAUGAGAAUCUGGCCACAUCCGGAAGGCCCACCCCAAGUAGGAAUAUAGGCCAAUCAGAGUGUUGAAAAAACGAACCUGUGGAAGAAACUUGUUACCCCUCAGUGGCGCUGGGGCCUUUGCGGGGGAAAGUAGGCAAGUGAGAGCUACUUAAAGUCAGUUGGUCGGGUCCCUAAAGUCCAAACUGGACCUCUGAGACUCAAUAAAGCUCGGAGGGCCGUCCGGUGCCACCGCGAGGCCCCUUCCGGAAAUUUUAAAACACACUUAAGUGCGCGGGCUGGGCGAGGCUGGAGACAGCUGGGGAUUGUGGGCUUCCGCUCUGGGGUAAACAGACACGCUACCAGUCAGUGACUCCCAGAAAGAUUAGACAUGAUGCGGGAAACUCAAGAGGAGGCGCUGACCCAGACUUCUUAGAGGACAUGACAUCUGAAGACUUUUGCUAGAGGAAAACGGGAGAUACGUUCUGGAUAGCAGGAAUAGUUCACGCGAAGGCCAAGAGACAGUAGUCAUAGGCGUCAACUCAACAGGUCACGUGUGUAGGAUUACCGAUGAAGUAUUAUUUCACCAAAUUAAACCGAAAUCCUGACGGGGGUUAUGAAUUUUUUUGGGAAAAGACCAGAGAAGUAAGGUGCAAUUCCCAUCUUACCGAGGAUACACACUAUCAACAUGACUGACCACAGUUGAUGUCAACUUGAUCUCCUGGCUCAGCACAUGCCUGGUUGUCCUCCUUUGGUGACGUGAAGAUUGAUCAGCAGGGUCAUCCUGUGCUAUUUUAAGAAGCCCAAUCAACCUUCUCACUGAUAGUUUUAGCAGCCCUUAACCAUCAUUACCUGUACCUAUUACUUCAUUAAAAUACAGAAAAUAGUGGUUUUUGAAUUUUAUCAUUCUCUUUGCAAUUAUUAGUGAUUCUUUCAAAUAAUUUCUUCCUUGUCAUGAUGACUUUAGUUACUUGUUCACAUGCAGGAAAGACAGAACAUUUCUUUCCCUAUUUUAUUAAAAAAAGUUCAAAAUGAGUUGGUUCAUAGCACCCUUCAAAGAUGACCAAUGAGGUAUAAGUGUAUAUGUAUCAAUAUAAACUUACAUUUCAAACAUAUUUGAUGUGCAUCAAAUCAUUGCAGUCAUUCUUAUUGCUGCUUUAAAUCUUUGGCUAAGUGGCAGCCCCUUCAGAUUGACUCAUGAGUCCUUUUGACUCAAUCCCAGCAGUCUUUGAGGACUCCUUUGCUUUCUUGCACAAGAUGCCCCAUACUCAUUUUGUACACUUCCUGCCCUAUGCCUGGAAGCAGCUAUUUUCCCAAGGAUCCCUGGUUCCUUCUAGUCAGAAAUGGUAGAGACGACAAUCUGGGCACUAGGGUUGCUCACUAUUACCAGGUAAUCAUUAUAUCUAGACCUUUUCUGUGGACUUAGUGAGGGAAAUACAUAUUUUUAGAAAGACCCAGGAGUUCAUUCUGAUAU